This 551-nucleotide long non-coding RNA is filed under the name Sorghum bicolor (sorghum). RNAcentral describes it as "long non-coding RNA (SBIC_LNC013145)". The record is from RNAcentral. Lineage: Eukaryota; Viridiplantae; Streptophyta; Magnoliopsida; Poales; Poaceae.
UGAUGUCACGGAAGAAGCCGCUGCUUAUUACACGUACUGACAAGAGAAAGACUGAAAAAUGUCAACCUCAUUUGUAUGUAUAUAUGCAUCCGUGGUGACCAGCGUUCAAACAUUCCAGCUAGCGUGGCGGCCGGCGGCCGAAGCCAUGCCAGCCAGCCAGCCGCGCGCCAUGCCCACCGCAGCAGACUAAGGCUCCAGAAUCCUGCCCUUGACUGCACACGAAAGAAAAAUCACGUACUGUACGCGGCAUCGUCAUUUCUGAACUGAACGUCUAGAGGAUAGCUAGCUAGCUAGCUUGUCUCUGCUAGGGAUGGUCGGCUGGACAAUUCUGUAGGGGGGCUUAGCUAAGUUAACCACAGCCGCGUAAGUAAAGCACAAUCAGACAAGGAGAAGAACAUGACCCGUGGAAGAUUGAACCCAAGAUAAUUCUAAGGUUAUUAAGCAAGCACGAAAUAAAGGAUCCCAAAGGGGGAAAAAAAAAAAGAGAAACAAGGCAGAGCUGAGGCUUUGCAGUGCAGCACUUGCAAUUGCAUCGCAAGCAAAAGGGACCC